UCCCGCGGGAGCGCGCGCGCGUCGCCGACCCGCCGCGGGCGUUCGCGCUCGGUUCAACGGCGCGGAAGGCUUCGAGACGCGUCGCGUUUCCAAGAGUGGCCGCGCGGCGGCCUGCACUUUUCCUUCGCCGCAGUGCGUCGCGAUCCGUUGGUGGGCGGCCGAAGGCCCGGAGCGACUUUCCCCGCGGGCGUCCCUCUUCGCGGGGGGGCGCGCCGCCGGGGUGCGCCCGGCGUGCGCGCGGCRGAGCGGCUCCCUUCUCGGGGGCGCUGCCGUCGCGGCUUCCUGGCCGCCGGACGAGAGACCGGCCCCGUUCGGGGCCGGCGUUUACGACGGUCUUGAAAUACGCGGAAGAAAUGGGCCGGGUUAGAUUCCCGGGACGGCUCUCCGGAACGCGGUUACCAGCGCGCCCGCGGCGUCGCCGGGCUCCGGGCAAAAACUGCCCCUCUUUCCUUUCGGGGGGGGGGCGACCGGCAGCUCGUCCGUCGAUCGGGCGCGCAGUGACAGGAGAGGGGAUGUAGAAGCCACGCGAGCUCCAUCGCGAACAAUCGGCGGCGUGAGUCUCCGGUUACUUUCCGACCCGUCUUGAAACACGGACCAAGGAGUCUAACAUGUGCGCGAGUCAAUGGGUCUCCCGAAACCCACGGGCGCAAUGAAAGUGAAGGCUGCCGCUCGCGCGCGGCGUCGGGCGCUUCGCGGCGCUCCGGCGUCGCCGCGCGCGCGGGGGCGUAGGGAAGAUGGCGCGGGGGGCGCGCGCCGCCUCGCGCGGCCGCGCCGCCUCGGCCCGCACUCCCGGGGCGUCGUUUUCGGCGCACCCAGAGCGUACACGUUGGUACCCGAAAGAUGGUGAACUAUGCCUGGCCAGGACGAAGCCAGGGGAAACCCUGGUGGAGGUCCGUAGCGAUUCUGACGUGCAAAUCGAUCGUCUGAGCUGGGUAUAGGGGCGAAAGACUAAUCGAACCAUCUAGUAGCUGGUUCCCUCCGAAGUUUCCCUCAGGAUAGCUGGCGCUCGCGCGCGGGAAACAGAAAGGACGAAUCUCGUCCGGUAAAGCGAAUGAUUGGAGGCCUUAGGGCCGAAACGACCUUAACCUACUCUCAAACUUUAAAUGGGCGAGACCUCCGGCGUGCUCGAAGAGGGGCGGGUUCCGAGCCGCCCCCGUGACGCCGGAGACCGGAUCACGAGUGCCCAGUGGGCCACUUUUGGUAAGCAGAACUGGCGCUGUGGGAUGAACCAAACGCCGAGUUAAGGCGCCCAAAUCGACGCUCAUGGGAUACCAUGAAGGGCGUUGUUUGCUUAAGACAGCAGGGAUGUGGCCAUGGAAGUCGGAAUCGUCUAAGGAGUGUGUAACAACUCACCUGCCGAAGCAACUAGCCCUGAAAAUGGAUGGCGCUGUAGCGUCGUGCCUAUACUCGGCCGCCGGCGGCAAGGAGAAGGGCGCCCCGCACGAAUCUCCGCGUCGGGGGCCGCCGCGCUUGCGCGGCGGCAGGGGCCCUGUUAGGCCCCGGCGAGUAGGAGGGUCGCGACGGUGAGCGCAGAAGGGUUGGGCGCGAGCCUGCCUGGAGCCGCCGUCGGUGCAGAUCUUGGUAGUAGUAGCAAAUACUCUAGCGAGGCCCUGGAGGGCUGAGGCGGARAAGGGUUUCGUGUGAACAGCCGUUGCACACGAGUCAGUCGAUCCUAAGCUCUAGGAGAAAUCCGAUGUCKAUCGGGCCGAUCGACGAAACAGAACGAAAGUUAAGCAAUUGAGAGAGAGAGAGAAGUCGGCCCGGGAGGGCGAAAGGGAAUCCGGUCCCUAUUCCGGAACCCGGUCGCGGAACCGUCUCACGUCGGGCCCCCCGCUUCGCGGCGGGAAGCUCGUCGGGGUAACCCAAACUGACCCGGAGAAGCCGUCGGGAGGUCGGGGAAGAGUUGUCUUUUCUGUUUGAGCGUUCGGGUUCCCUGGAAUUGCCUAGCGCAGAGAGAGGGAAUGGAGCGCGUAGAGCACCGC
This 1982-nucleotide ribosomal RNA is filed under the name Paragryllus sp. BYU-IGC-OR458. Its description in RNAcentral is "eukaryotic LSU rRNA". The stretch from base 594 to 1982 matches the Rfam family "Eukaryotic large subunit ribosomal RNA", at positions 665 to 1770 of the family's 3401-position model. The record is from RNAcentral. Lineage: Eukaryota; Metazoa; Arthropoda; Insecta; Orthoptera; Phalangopsidae.